This 454-nucleotide ribosomal RNA is filed under the name uncultured bacterium. RNAcentral's name for it is "bacterial SSU rRNA". It matches the Rfam family "Bacterial small subunit ribosomal RNA", at positions 43 to 507 of the family's 1533-position model. The record is from RNAcentral.
CGUGCUUAACACAUGCAAGUCGAACGGUGACGAAUGGAGCUUGCUCUGUUCUGAUCAGUGGCGAACGGGUGAGUAACACGUGAGUAACCUGCCCCUGACUCUGGAAUAACUUCGGGAAACCGAAGCUAAUACCGGAUAUGACACAGAGCCGCAUGGUUUCUGUGUGGAAAGUUUUCGGUUGGGGAUGGACUCGCGGCCUAUCAGCUUGUUGGUGAGGUAAUGGCUCACCAAGGCGACGACGGGUAGCCGGCCUGAGAGGGCGACCGGCCACACUGGGACUGAGACACGGCCCAGACUCCUACGGGAGGCAGCAGUGGGGAAUAUUGCACAAUGGGCGAAAGCCUGAUGCAGCGACGCCGCGUGAGGGAUGAAGGCCUUCGGGUUGUAAACCUCUUUCAGUAGGGAAGAAGCGCAAGUGACGGUACCUACAGAAGAAGCACCGGCUAACUACGUG